This 406-nucleotide ribosomal RNA is filed under the name uncultured bacterium. RNAcentral describes it as "bacterial SSU rRNA". It matches the Rfam family "Bacterial small subunit ribosomal RNA", at positions 354 to 774 of the family's 1533-position model. The record is from RNAcentral.
GUGGGGAAUAUUGCACAAUGGAGGAAACUCUGAUGCAGCGACGCCGCGUGAGUGAAGAAGGUCUUCGGAUCGUAAAACUCUGUCCUUGGUGACGAAAAAAAUGACGGUAGCCAAGGAGGAAGCCCCGGCUAACUACGUGCCAGCAGCCGCGGUAAUACGCAGGGGGCAAGCGUUGUCCGGAUUUACUGGGUGUAAAGGGCGCGCAGGCGGGAUAAAAAGUCAGUGGUGAAAUCCUACAGCUUAACUGUAGAACUGCCUUUGAUACUUUUAUUCUUGAGUUCGGGAGAGAGAGACGGAAUUCCAGGUGUAGUGGUGAAAUACGUAGAUAUCUGGAAGAACACCAGUUGCGAAGGCGGUCUCUUGGUCCGACACUGACGCUGAGGCGCGAAAGCGUGGGGAGCAAACA